CCAUCGAGUCCCUGGCUUCAACAAUGAUUUCCAAAGGCUUGAGCAAUCACUACUGAGAGAGAGGAGCUGGGAUUCUGAUUAAGUUGCCCCAGUUGGGAAAGAUCUAGAAUCGUGCCAAAAGGUUUCCAGGACUGAUAGGCAUUUAAAAGUGAAAACAGCUCCGAGUCUGCUUGGGAUUCAUGAGCAGAGCUCCGGAGAGGAAAGAAAAAGAGCAUAGGAAAAGUAAGCGAGGCCCCCAGGAUCGCACACCUGGUAUAAAGGACGCUGACAUAAACUCCGUCUGACUCCAGAGCUCUUUUUUCAGCAUGAUCCUAUUCUGUCUCGCCAGUGGAUUGGCAGAUGUCAAUCUCAGUCCAGAUGCUUCCGUAUCAAAAGCUGAGCACAUCAGAACACUGAAGAGAGGCAUCAUCACACACAUUAUCAUAUCGCCUAUUCAUAAUCCUCCUUUUCUGCCCCAUGUCUUCUCAUAGCAGAUAUAAAUCACAGAGCAGCUCUGCGGAGUUAUGGGGACAACCAGCAUCUCUGCCCUCCCAAUCCUGAUGGGAGCUGUUCUGCUGUUUCAACAUGAAGGAAGACACGGGCUCUCCACUUGAGAUGCUUCGAGUUGAGUAGCCUCCUGUGUCUGUCACUUGUCCUGUUGCUGUGACAGAAUACCUGACAACAAGCAACUUUAAGGGCAGGCUCAUCUGGGGGAAGGACUGGCAGCAGGCAUUUGAGCAGCUUGUCACGUGGCAUCUGCCGCCAGGAAGCCGGAAGAGGCGUACAGCGAUGCAAUGCUCACGUUCCACCGCUGAUUUGUUCCAGGACCCCACCAGUCCUUGGAAUGGUGCUGCCCAUAGUUAGAGUGGCUUCCUAUCUCAGCUCACCUAACCUAGAAAUGUCCUCACAGGCUUGUCACACCCAGAGGCUUGUCUCCCAGGUGACUCUAGACCCUGUUGAAAAUCACUAUCAGCCAUCACAGUCCCAGCCCUCGUUUCCUCUGAAUGUUUCUUUUUCCCGAUCAUGCAUGAAUAUUGCAUUUUUUCUGAAUGCUUUUUGUCAUCUAUUGCUAAUUAUCAUGUGGGUUUUCACAUUGGAGACAUGGAGAAGCUGUCAGGAUAUUAACAGAUUUCCCCCACCCCAGCCCACCCCCGUAAUACUAACCUGUCCUUGCUUCCCCAGAACAAGACUGGUUUUGUUGUGGUAGAUUGCUUCCUAGGUGCUUUGUUUUGCUGUUAUUAUAUUUUGUCCUUUGAAAGUU
Molecule: long non-coding RNA, 1240 nt
Organism: Rattus norvegicus (Norway rat)
Lineage: Eukaryota; Metazoa; Chordata; Mammalia; Rodentia; Muridae
Source: RefSeq, a predicted model, not a curated record